Molecule: ribosomal RNA, 304 nt
Filed under: uncultured bacterium
Lineage: Bacteria
Description: partial 16S ribosomal RNA
Rfam family: Bacterial small subunit ribosomal RNA
Source: RNAcentral
CAGCAGCAGCCGCGGUAAUACGGAGGGUGCAAGCGUUAAUCGGAAUUACUGGGCGUAAAGCGCACGCAGGCGGUUUGUUAAGUCAGAUGUGAAAUCCCCGAGCUUAACCUGGGAACUGCAUUUGAAACUGGCAAGCUAGAGUCUUGUAGAGGGGGGUAGAAUUCCAGGUGUAGCGGUGAAAUGCGUAGAGAUCUGGAGGAAUACCGGUGGCGAAGGCGGCCCCCUGGACAAAGACUGACGCUCAGGUGCGAAAGCGUGGGGAGCAAACAGGAUUAGAUACCCGAGUAGUCCCUGUCUCUUAUAC